This 287-nucleotide ribosomal RNA is filed under the name uncultured Bacteroides sp. Its description in RNAcentral is "partial 16S ribosomal RNA". It matches the Rfam family "Bacterial small subunit ribosomal RNA", at positions 59 to 339 of the family's 1533-position model. Lineage: Bacteria; Pseudomonadati; Bacteroidota; Bacteroidia; Bacteroidales; Bacteroidaceae. The record is from RNAcentral.
AAGUCGAGGGGCAGCAUGGGGGUUGCUUGCAAUCCCUGAUGGCGACCGGCGCACGGGUGAGUAACACGUAUCCAACCUGCCGACAACUCUGGGAUAGCCUUUCGAAAGAAAGAUUAAUACCGGAUGGCAUAAUUUUCCCGCAUGGUGGAACUAUUAAAGAAUUUCGGUCAUCGAUGGGGAUGCGUUCCAUUAGGUUGUUGGCGGGGUAACGGCCCACCAAAGCGACGAUGGAUAGGGGUUCUGAGAGGAAGGUCCCCACAUUGGAACUGAGACACGGUCCAAACUCC